This 471-nucleotide ribosomal RNA is filed under the name uncultured bacterium. RNAcentral describes it as "partial 16S ribosomal RNA". It matches the Rfam family "Bacterial small subunit ribosomal RNA", at positions 28 to 507 of the family's 1533-position model. The record is from RNAcentral.
GACGAACGCUGGCGGCGUGCUUAACACAUGCAAGUCGAACGAUGAAGCCUAGCUUGCUAGGUGGAUUAGUGGCGAACGGGUGAGUAAUACGUGAGUGACCUACCUUUUACUCUGUGAUAAGCCUUGGAAACUGGGUCUAAUACCGGAUACGACCAAUCCCCGCACGGGGUGUUGGUGGGAAGCGUUAUGGAGUGGUUUUAGAUGGCCUCACUGCCUAUCAGCUUGUUGGUGAGGUAGUGGCUUACCAAGGCGACGACGGGUAGCCGGCCUGAGAGGGUGACCGGCCACACUGGGACUGAGACACGGCCCAGACUCCUACGGGAGGCAGCAGUGGGGAAUAUUGCACAAUGGGCGCAAGCCUGAUGCAGCGACGCCGCGUGAGGGAUGACGGCCUUCGGGUUGUAAACCUCUGUUGGCAUCGAAGAAGCGAAAGUGACGGUAGGUGCAGAGAAAGCGCCGGCUAACUACGUG